Molecule: ribosomal RNA, 351 nt
Filed under: uncultured bacterium
Lineage: Bacteria
Description: bacterial SSU rRNA
Rfam family: Bacterial small subunit ribosomal RNA
Source: RNAcentral
AGAGUUUGAUCCUGGCUCAGAACGAACGCUGGCGGCAUGCCUAACACAUGCAAGUCGAACGAGACCUUCGGGUCUAGUGGCGCACGGGUGCGUAACGCGUGGGAAUCUGCCCUUGGGUUCGGAAUAACAGCUAGAAAUGGCUGCUAAUACCGAAUAAUGACGUAAGUCCAAAGAUUUAUCGCCCAAGGAUGAGCCCGCGUAGGAUUAGCUAGUUGGUGAGGUAAAAGCUCACCAAGGCGACGAUCCUUAGCUGGUCUGAGAGGAUGAUCAGCCACACUGGGACUGAGACACGGCCCAAACUCCUACGGGAGGCAGCAGUGGGGAAUAUUGGACAAUGGGGGCAACCCUGAU